Long non-coding RNA from Leptinotarsa decemlineata (Colorado potato beetle), 1705 nucleotides. NCBI's taxonomy places the organism in Eukaryota, Metazoa, Arthropoda, Insecta, Coleoptera, Chrysomelidae. The record is from RefSeq and is a predicted model, not a curated record.
CACUCACAAUGCCAUCAACAUGCAGACCUAUAUUGGAAAACACAAUAGUAACGAGGCAUUUCGAUUUUCACUUCUUAUACAUACACACAAAAUCUAGUUUUAUGUUGAUAUUAGUUUAACUUGUAGAAUUUCACUCGAAGAUUUUCAGUAGUGUCAAUUCAAAAGCACACAACUACUGUUUCUCUCACGAUGGAUUCUUCAAAGCUAAUUAUCUCCUGAAAACUCUUGUCUAAAUAGCAUUAUUUUAAUGCAUACCGAGUUAGGUAGGUACCUUUUGUAACUACCUACCUACCUCAUUAUGUUUGCUCAAUGCUCACAGAUUAAUGGAGACAACUAAGCCCGAGAAUGACGUGGAGACAACCAAGUCGACGCAUGCGUCUACGAAAAAGGGACACAAAAUGGUCGUCUUUGUCGCUUCUCUGUGGUAGGUAUUCUCGGGUCCUGCACCUGUUGUCACAGAUUAAAACACAUCACGCAACUACGGUAGACUGAGGUGUUGGAGCAUUCAAUGAUGAAUACCUCAUUUUUCGACUUCAGCUCACUCGAUCAGAGAAAAGCUAAGGUCAGGUGCUAAGUCGAGAUGAUAAGCCGAGGUCUUUAAUAUUGUUAAAGAAGCUUCCAUACAUUCACUUAUUUUUGUUUAGCCGCAGCAGUGAAGUGAUUUCAGUGCUGUGAUAUGAGGCCUUUGCUGAACGGGUUCCAACUUGGUCACAGUGUUGUUAUCGAAAACUAAACUGAAAUUAGUUUGCAUUCUGUCAUCCUGAAGACUUUUGAAUCCGUUUUAUUUCAUUCAACUCUCAAAAUUAGUUAUCUAGAAUAAUCUAGAUAAAUAACUUAUCCACUGAUUGGACAAAUGCGGCAAGAAUACUUAGAGAGAAAUUUCACAAACUACACCUAACGAUGUGAUCUUCACAAACUGCUCUAGGUAGUUAUGAUCGAGUAAGUAUCUGAGUAGGUAGUUCUCAUUGGUGAUUACGUUGGGUAUAUAUAAAUUAGAUUGAAGAAUGAACUUCCAGUAUGUUAUUUACUACGAUAGGGCAUCAUGUGAUAUCUUUGAAAAUGAAGUUUGUGAAGUUUGAAUCGUUAGAUGUAGUUCGUGAAAUUACUAUGGAGUUUCAUCAAGUAACAGCCGAGUCAAUCAGAAAACUACAGAGCGAGAAAGAUAGAGAGAAAACUUCUCCAUGCACUUGAGGUAAUCUAUUUGAGAUGAUAUGCGAAUCGAUUACCUUCAAUAUAUAAAUCCACAAUCUUUUCAAUCAUUCUAAUAAAAUUGUUUGAAACAAAAAGAGAUAUACCACAACUUCAAUAUGAGCAAUUUUUUAACAUUAGUUUUUCCAAUUCUGUGUAUAGUCGUUCAUCUUACGAUUGGAUCAGAAGAUUUACCAGAAGUUACAGUCAUCAAUAGUAAUGUCCCAAAUGAAAAUUACAAAGUCGAUGCAAAAGAAGCAUAUUUGAAAUCUUGGAAACUUUAUGCCAAUGAAACCAAUAAACGCAUUGAAACUUUUUCAAGUCUUUAUCAGCUGAAAUAUCCUGUUAAUGGAGGAUGGAGUGUCGCAGAGGGAUGUAUUACUAGGUACACACCUGGGGACACAUACAGUUUUGUAACGUUGAGCUCAGUUUACAAUAACGUUACAACUGUUGUCGAUAUAUUCUGUUUUUUUAUUCAGAUAUAGUAUAUAUUGAAUAAAUAAAUAGUGAACUAUUA